UACGGAGGGUGCGAGCGUUAAUCGGAAUUACUGGGCGUAAAGGGCGCGUAGGCGGUGGGUUACGUCUGCCGUGAAAUCCCCGGGCUCAACCUGGGAAUGGCGGUGGAAACGGGCUGACUGGAGUAUGGGAGAGGGUGAUGGAAUUCCAGGUGUAGCGGUGAAAUGCGUAGAGAUCUGGAGGAACACCAGUGGCGAAGGCGGUCAACUGGCCCAAUACUGCAGCUGAGGCGCGAAAGCGUGGGGAGCAAACAGG
RNAcentral lists this ribosomal RNA (253 nucleotides) under uncultured bacterium. RNAcentral's name for it is "partial 16S ribosomal RNA". It matches the Rfam family "Bacterial small subunit ribosomal RNA", at positions 524 to 776 of the family's 1533-position model. The record is from RNAcentral.